RNAcentral lists this ribosomal RNA (460 nucleotides) under uncultured bacterium. RNAcentral's name for it is "partial 16S ribosomal RNA". It matches the Rfam family "Bacterial small subunit ribosomal RNA", at positions 338 to 795 of the family's 1533-position model. The record is from RNAcentral.
CCUACGGGAGUCAGCAGUGAGGAAUAUUGGUCAAUGGACGAGAGUCUGAACCAGCCAAGUAGCGUGAAGGAUGACUGCCCUAUGGGUUGUCAACUUCUUUUAUAUGGGAAUAAAAUGUUCCACGUGUGGGAUUUUGUAUGUACCAUAUGAAUAAGGAUCGGCUAACUCCGUGCCCUCAGCCGCGGUAAUACGGAGGAUCCGACCGUUUUCCGGAUUUAUUGGGUUUAAAGGGAGCGUAGGUGGAUUGUUAAGUCAGUUGUGAAAGUUUGCGGCUCAACCGUAAAAUUGCAGUUGAAACUGGCAGUCGUGAGUACAGUAGAGGUGGGCGGAAUUCGGGGUGUAGCGGUGAAAGGCUUAGAUAUCACGAAGAACUCAGAUUGCGAAGGCAGUUCACUGGACUGCAACUGACACUGAGGCUCGAAAGUGUGGGUAUCAAACAGGAUUAGAUACCCUAGUAGUC